This 398-nucleotide ribosomal RNA is filed under the name uncultured bacterium. RNAcentral's name for it is "partial 16S ribosomal RNA". It matches the Rfam family "Bacterial small subunit ribosomal RNA", at positions 361 to 773 of the family's 1533-position model. The record is from RNAcentral.
AUCUUGCGCAAUGGGGGAAACUCUGACGCAGCGACGCCGCGUGAGUGAUGAAGGACUUAGGGUUGUAAAACUCUGUCCUCAGGGAAGAAAACACUGACGGUACCGGAGGCGGCAGACCCGGCUCACUACGUUCCAGCAGCCGGGGUAAUACGUAGGGGGCGAGGGUUGUCCGGAAUUAUUGGGCGUAAAGGGUGCGUAGGCGGCCUUUUAAGUCAGGUGUGAAAGACCACAGCUUAACUGUGGGGUUGCAUUUGAAACUAGAAGGCUUGAGUAUCGGAGAGGGUAGUGGAAUUCCUGGUGUAGCGGUGAAAUGCGUAGAUAUCAGGAGGAACACCAGUGGCGAAGGCGACUACCUGGACGAAAACUGACGCUGAGGCACGAAAGCUAGGGUAGCAAAC